CCUACGGGAGGCAGCAGUGGGGAAUAUUGCACAAUGGGCGAAACCCUGAUGCAGCGACGCCGCGUGAGUGAAGAAGUAUUUCGGUACGUUAAGCUCUAUCAGCAGGGAAGAAAAUGACGGUACCUGACUAAGAAGCCCCGGCUAACUACGUGACAGCAGCCGCGGUAAUACGUAGGGGGCAAGCGUUAUCCGGAUUUACUGGGUGGAAAGGGAGCGUAGACGGCAGCGCAAGUCUGGAGUGAAAUCCCAUGGCUUAACCAGGGAACUGCUUUGGAAACUGGGCAGCUGGAGUGCAGGAGAGGUAAGCGGAAUUCCUAGUGUAGCGGUGAAAUGCGUAGAUAUUAGGAGGAACACCAGUGGCGAAGGCGGCUUACUGGACUGUAACUGACGUUGAGGCUCGAAAGCGUGGGGAGCAAACAGGAUUAGAUACCCCAGUAGUC
This 440-nucleotide ribosomal RNA is filed under the name uncultured bacterium. RNAcentral's name for it is "partial 16S ribosomal RNA". It matches the Rfam family "Bacterial small subunit ribosomal RNA", at positions 338 to 795 of the family's 1533-position model. The record is from RNAcentral.